GACGAACGCUGGCGGCGUGCCUAAUACAUGCAAGUUGAGCGCUGAAGGUUGGUACUUGUACCCACUGGAUGAGCAGCGAACGGGAGAGUAACGCGUGGGGAAUCUGCCUUUGAGCGGGGGACAACAUUUGGAAACGAAUGCUAAUACCGCAUAAAAACUUUAAACACAAGUUUUAAGUUUGAAAGAUGCAAUUGCAUCACUCAAAGAUGAUCCCGCGUUGUAUUAGCUAGUUAGUGAGGUAAAGGCUCACCAAGGCGAUGAUACAUAGCCGACCUGAGAGGGUGAUCGGCCACAUUGGGACUGAGACACGGCCCAAACUCCUACGGGAGGCAGCAGUAGGGAAUCUUCGGCAAUGGACGAAAGUCUGACCGAGCAACGCCGCGUGAGUGAAGAAGGUUUUCGGAUCGUAAAACUCUGUUGGUAGAGAAGAACGUUGGUGAGAGUGGAAAGCUCAUCAAGGGACGGAAACUACCCAGAAAGGGACGGCUAACUACGU
This 496-nucleotide ribosomal RNA is filed under the name uncultured bacterium. RNAcentral describes it as "partial 16S ribosomal RNA". It matches the Rfam family "Bacterial small subunit ribosomal RNA", at positions 28 to 506 of the family's 1533-position model. The record is from RNAcentral.